UGCUCAUCUGCUUUUUAAACUCUCUGGAUCUCUCAUUAAGCAAUAAUCUGACAUUAUCGGAUUUGUCAUGCUUAAAUUUUGCCUUUACCUGAUGAAAUGCAUCCCUUUUCCCUCGACAAGCUCUAUCAAACCAAGGUUUAUUACUAUUACUCGAUUUAUAUGAACGAAUAUUCGAGUUGCCCAAUACACUACUGGCUGUCUGGGUCAACACAUUGCCAAG
This 220-nucleotide long non-coding RNA is filed under the name Mytilus galloprovincialis (Mediterranean mussel). Lineage: Eukaryota; Metazoa; Mollusca; Bivalvia; Mytilida; Mytilidae. The record is from RNAcentral.